This 89-nucleotide transfer RNA is filed under the name compost metagenome. RNAcentral describes it as "tRNA-Ala". The record is from RNAcentral.
UUUCAUGGUGUUGCGGCCGAACAUCCGGCUGGCGGCCGGGGCCGGACGAUCGGACUGGCCGAAGCGCUGUUCCAGCCAGCGCUGGAAAA